CUCUGGCAACAGACUACUGGGGGAGAUAAGUGAGAAUUGCAACAUGCUCUCUCAUUACCCUCAAGGAACUAGAAAGAUAGAAUCUCUACGGACCCCACAAGACGACUGAUACUACAGACUAGACAAGAGCACCAGAUGAGAAAAUGGAGGUACCAAAAAGUGGGCUCUGAACUGCAGAGCCUGGCUCCAGAGCCCUUGUAUUUGACUACUGGGAUCCACCGUUAUUCUCACAGCCGCGUUUCCCACAGGGCUGCUUUGUAUGGCCUCUUAGAAAAGUCCUGCCUGUCUCCACCAUCCAGGGCCUCAGCGGCACCUGUCCUGAGUCAGCAUCUCACAGAGGUUUUGCCAGCGCCAGCCACAUCUCCAGCAUGAAGGUGAUUGUCUGAGUGUGUCCAGUCCAGUUCCUGCCUUAAUAAAAAUCACUGCUGCAAGGGAGAGGGCUGCCAAGGCCCUGCCUCCCUCCAACCCCAUCCUAGCCUGAGUCUUAACCAUUCUUCCAAUCCAGUUCCACUUUGGGCCAGUGCUUAACCCAGGG
This 535-nucleotide long non-coding RNA is filed under the name Homo sapiens (human). RNAcentral's name for it is "non-protein coding lnc-SMNDC1-2:17". The record is from RNAcentral. Lineage: Eukaryota; Metazoa; Chordata; Mammalia; Primates; Hominidae.